This 66-nucleotide transfer RNA is filed under the name Broscus cephalotes. RNAcentral's name for it is "tRNA-Gly". The record is from RNAcentral. Lineage: Eukaryota; Metazoa; Arthropoda; Insecta; Coleoptera; Carabidae.
AUUUAUAUAAUAUAAAAAGUAUAUUUGACUUCCAAUCAAAUAGUCUAAUUUAUUUUAGUAUAAAUA